AAAGAUUAAGCCAUGCAUGUCUAAGUAUAAGCAACUAUACAGUGAAACUGCGAAUGGCUCAUUAAAUCAGUUAUCGUUUAUUUGAUAGUACCUUACUACUUGGAUAACCGUGGUAAUUCUAGAGCUAAUACAUGCUAAAAAUCCCGACCUCUGGAAGGGAUGUAUUUAUUAGAUAAAAAACCAAUGCCUUCGGGCUCCUUGGUGAUUCAUGAUAACUUAACGAAUCGCAUGGCCUUGCGCCGGCGAUGGUUCAUUCAAAUUUCUGCCCUAUCAACUUUCGAUGGUAGGAUAGUGGCCUACCAUGGUUUCAACGGGUAACGGGGAAUUAGGGUUCUAUUCCGGAGAGGGAGCCUGAGAAACGGCUACCACAUCCAAGGAAGGCAGCAGGCGCGCAAAUUACCCAAUCCCGAUACGGGGAGGUAGUGACAAUAAAUACUGAUACAGGGCUCUUUUGGGUCUUGUAAUUGGAAUGAGUACAAUUUAAAUCCCUUAACGAGGAACAAUUGGAGG
Molecule: ribosomal RNA, 510 nt
Filed under: Dactylella sp.
Lineage: Eukaryota; Fungi; Ascomycota; Orbiliomycetes; Orbiliales; Orbiliaceae
Description: SSU rRNA
Rfam family: Eukaryotic small subunit ribosomal RNA
Source: RNAcentral